Molecule: non-coding RNA, 29 nt
Filed under: Mus musculus (house mouse)
Lineage: Eukaryota; Metazoa; Chordata; Mammalia; Rodentia; Muridae
Source: RNAcentral
UAAUCGAUCGAGUGCCCGCACUGCUGUUA